Molecule: ribosomal RNA, 528 nt
Filed under: uncultured bacterium
Lineage: Bacteria
Description: bacterial SSU rRNA
Rfam family: Bacterial small subunit ribosomal RNA
Source: RNAcentral
AAUAGAUACCCGGUAGUCCACGCCGUAAACGAUGAGUGCUAAGUGUUAGAGGGUUUCCGCCCUUUAGUGCUGCAGCUAACGCAUUAAGCACUCCGCCUGGGGAGUACGGUCGCAAGACUGAAACUCAAAGGAAUUGACGGGGGCCCGCACAAGCGGUGGAGCAUGUGGUUUAAUUCGAAGCAACGCGAAGAACCUUACCAGGUCUUGACAUCCUCUGACAACUCUAGAGAUAGAGCGUUCCCCUUCGGGGGACAGAGUGACAGGUGGUGCAUGGUUGUCGUCAGCUCGUGUCGUGAGAUGUUGGGUUAAGUCCCGCAACGAGCGCAACCCUUGAUCUUAGUUGCCAGCAUUCAGUUGGGCACUCUAAGGUGACUGCCGGUGACAAACCGGAGGAAGGUGGGGAUGACGUCAAAUCAUCAUGCCCCUUAUGACCUGGGCUACACACGUGCUACAAUGGAUGGUACAAAGGGCUGCAAGACCGCGAGGUCAAGCCAAUCCCAUAAAACCAUUCUCAGUUCGGAUUGUAGG